CCAAGGUUCUUGUGAUGUUUUUUACCUAACUAAGCAAACUGUGUCAUAAAUGAACUAAAUAAGCUUAUUAUGUCAUUUUGGAGGGUAAUUAGCUAAGUAAGUGUUUCUGGGGGAAAAGGCUAAGGAGAAGAAGAAAGAGGAGAAGAAGAAGGAGAAGAAGAAGAAGAAGAAUAAGGAGAAGAAGGAUAAGAAGAAGGAGAAGAAAAGAACAAGAAGAAGAAGAAGAAGAAGAAGAAGAGGAAGAAGAAGAAGAAGAAGGAGGAGGAGGAGGANN
This 274-nucleotide long non-coding RNA is filed under the name Hordeum vulgare. RNAcentral's name for it is "long non-coding RNA (HVUL_LNC015237)". Lineage: Eukaryota; Viridiplantae; Streptophyta; Magnoliopsida; Poales; Poaceae. The record is from RNAcentral.